Molecule: transfer RNA, 64 nt
Filed under: Heteropteryx dilatata (New Guinea walking stick)
Lineage: Eukaryota; Metazoa; Arthropoda; Insecta; Phasmatodea; Heteropterygidae
Description: tRNA-Gly
Source: RNAcentral
ACUUAUUUAAUAUAGUAGUAUAUUUAACUUCCAAUUAAAAAGACUGAAUAAAUCAGAAUAAGUA